RNAcentral lists this ribosomal RNA (508 nucleotides) under uncultured bacterium. RNAcentral describes it as "bacterial SSU rRNA". It matches the Rfam family "Bacterial small subunit ribosomal RNA", at positions 505 to 1016 of the family's 1533-position model. The record is from RNAcentral.
GUGCCCAGCCCGCUGCGGUAAUACGGAGGUGCAAGCGUUAAUCGGAAUUACUGGGCGUAAAGCGCACGCAGGCGGUCUGUCAAGUCGGAUGUGAAAUCCCCGGGCUCAACCCGGGACUGCAUUCGAAACUGGCAGGCUUGAGUCUCGUAGAGGGUUAGAAUUCCAGGUGUAGCGGUGAAAUGCGUAGAGAUCUGGAGGAAUACCGGUGGCGAAGGCGGCCCCCUGGACGAAGACUGACGCUCAGGUGCGAAAGCGUGGGAGCAAACAGGAUUAGAUACCCUGGUAGUCCACGCCGUAAACGAUGUCGAUUUGGAGGUUGUGCCCUUGAGGCGUGGCUUCCGGAGCUAACGCGUUAAAUCGACCGCCUGGGGAGUACGGCCGCAAGGUUAAAACUCAAAUGAAUUGACGGGGGCCCGCACAAGCGGUGGAGCAUGUGGUUUAAUUCGAUGCAACGCGAAGAACCUUACCUGGUCUUGACAUCCACAGACUUAGCAGAGAUGCUUUGGUG